RNAcentral lists this ribosomal RNA (253 nucleotides) under uncultured bacterium. RNAcentral describes it as "partial 16S ribosomal RNA". It matches the Rfam family "Bacterial small subunit ribosomal RNA", at positions 524 to 776 of the family's 1533-position model. The record is from RNAcentral.
UACGGAGGGGGCAAGCGUUAUUCGGAAUUAUUGGGCGUAAAGGGCGCGUAGGCGGCUAGAUGUGUCAAAGGUGAAAUCCCUCGGCUCAACUGAGGAACUGCCUUUGAAACUGUCUGGCUUGAGGCCGGGAGAGGGUAGCGGAAUUCCCAGUGUAGCGGUGAAAUGCGUAGAUAUUGGGAGGAACACCGGUGGCGAAGGCGGCUCACUGGCCUAUUACUGACGCUGAGGCGCGAAAGCGUGGGGAGCAAACAGG